GAAGUUCAGGUAACACUGAAUGGAGGACCGAACCGACUUACGUUGAAAAGUGAGCGGAUGAACUGAGGGUAGCGGAGAAAUUCCAAUCGAACCUGGAGAUAGCUGGUUCUCUCCGAAAUAGCUUUAGGGCUAGCCUCAAGUGAUGAUUAUUGGAGGUAGAGCACUGUUUGGACGAGGGGCCCCUCUCGGGUUACCGAAUUCAGACAAACUCCGAAUGCCAAUUAAUUUAACUUGGGAGUCAGAACAUGGGUGAUAAGGUCCGUGUUCGAAAGGGAAACAGCCCAGACCACCAGCUAAGGUCCCAAAAUAUAUGUUAAGUGGAAAAGGAUGUGGCGUUGCCCAGACAACUAGGAUGUUGGCUUAGAAGCAGCCAUCAUUUAAAGAGUGCGUAAUAGCUCACUAGUCGAGUGACACUGCGCCGAAAAUGUACCGGGGCUAAACAUAUUACCGAAGCUGUGGAUUGUCCUUUGGACAAUGGUAGGAGAGCGUUCUAAGGGCGUUGAAGCAUGAUCGUAAGGACAUGUGGAGCGCUUAGAAGUGAGAAUGCCGGUGUGAGUAGCGAAAGACGGGUGAGAAUCCCGUCCACCGAUUGACUAAGGUUUCCAGAGGAAGGCUCGUCCGCUCUGGGUUAGUCGGGUCCUAAGCUGAGGCCGACAGGCGUAGGCGAUGGAUAACAGGUUGAUAUUCCUGUACCACCUAUA
RNAcentral lists this ribosomal RNA (701 nucleotides) under Staphylococcus aureus. RNAcentral describes it as "partial 23S ribosomal RNA". It matches the Rfam family "Bacterial large subunit ribosomal RNA", at positions 747 to 1452 of the family's 2925-position model. Lineage: Bacteria; Bacillati; Bacillota; Bacilli; Caryophanales; Staphylococcaceae. The record is from RNAcentral.